This 1438-nucleotide ribosomal RNA is filed under the name Streptococcus salivarius. RNAcentral's name for it is "bacterial SSU rRNA". It matches the Rfam family "Bacterial small subunit ribosomal RNA". Lineage: Bacteria; Bacillati; Bacillota; Bacilli; Lactobacillales; Streptococcaceae. The record is from RNAcentral.
CUAUACAUGCAGUAGAACGCUGAAGAGAGGAGCUUGCUCUUCUUGGAUGAGUUGCGAACGGGUGAGUAACGCGUAGGUAACCUGCCUUGUAGCGGGGGAUAACUAUUGGAAACGAUAGCUAAUACCGCAUAACAAUGGAUGACACAUGUCAUUUAUUUGAAAGGGGCAAUUGCUCCACUACAAGAUGGACCUGCGUUGUAUUAGCUAGUAGGUGAGGUAACGGCUCACCUAGGCGACGAUACAUAGCCGACCUGAGAGGGUGAUCGGCCACACUGGGACUGAGACACGGCCCAGACUCCUACGGGAGGCAGCAGUAGGGAAUCUUCGGCAAUGGGGGCAACCCUGACCGAGCAACGCCGCGUGAGUGAAGAAGGUUUUCGGAUCGUAAAGCUCUGUUGUAAGUCAAGAACGAGUGUGAGAGUGGAAAGUUCACACUGUGACGGUAGCUUACCAGAAAGGGACGGCUAACUACGUGCCAGCAGCCGCGGUAAUACGUAGGUCCCGAGCGUUGUCCGGAUUUAUUGGGCGUAAAGCGAGCGCAGGCGGUUUGAUAAGUCUGAAGUUAAAGGCUGUGGCUCAACCAUAGUUCGCUUUGGAAACUGUCAAACUUGAGUGCAGAAGGGGAGAGUGGAAUUCCAUGUGUAGCGGUGAAAUGCGUAGAUAUAUGGAGGAACACCGGUGGCGAAAGCGGCUCUCUGGUCUGUAACUGACGCUGAGGCUCGAAAGCGUGGGGAGCGAACAGGAUUAGAUACCCUGGUAGUCCACGCCGUAAACGAUGAGUGCUAGGUGUUGGAUCCUUUCCGGGAUUCAGUGCCGCAGCUAACGCAUUAAGCACUCCGCCUGGGGAGUACGACCGCAAGGUUGAAACUCAAAGGAAUUGACGGGGGCCCGCACAAGCGGUGGAGCAUGUGGUUUAAUUCGAAGCAACGCGAAGAACCUUACCAGGUCUUGACAUCCCGAUGCUAUUUCUAGAGAUAGAAAGUUACUUCGGUACAUCGGUGACAGGUGGUGCAUGGUUGUCGUCAGCUCGUGUCGUGAGAUGUUGGGUUAAGUCCCGCAACGAGCGCAACCCCUAUUGUUAGUUGCCAUCAUUCAGUUGGGCACUCUAGCGAGACUGCCGGUAAUAAACCGGAGGAAGGUGGGGAUGACGUCAAAUCAUCAUGCCCCUUAUGACCUGGGCUACACACGUGCUACAAUGGUUGGUACAACGAGUUGCGAGUCGGUGACGGCAAGCUAAUCUCUUAAAGCCAAUCUCAGUUCGGAUUGUAGGCUGCAACUCGCCUACAUGAAGUCGGAAUCGCUAGUAAUCGCGGAUCAGCACGCCGCGGUGAAUACGUUCCCGGGCCUUGUACACACCGCCCGUCACACCACGAGAGUUUGUAACACCCGAAGUCGGUGAGGUAACCUUUGGAGCCAGCCGCCUAAGGUGGAUCGGGUU